GACCUCAAAUCAGGUAGGACUACCCGCUGAACUUAAGCAUAUCAAUAAGCGGAGGAAAAGAAACUAACAAGGAUUCCCCUAGUAACUGCGAGUGAAGCGGGAAAAGCUCAAAUUUAAAAUCUGGUAGUCUUUGGCUGCCCGAGUUGUAAUCUAGAGAAGCGUUAUCCGCGCUGGACCGUGUAUAAGUCUCCUGGAAUGGAGCGUCAUAGAGGGUGAGAAUCCCGUCUUCGACACGGACUCCCAGGGCUUUGUGAUGCGCUCUCAAAGAGUCGAGUUGUUUGGGAAUGCAGCUCUAAAUGGGUGGUAAAUUCCAUCUAAAGCUAAAUAUUGGCGAGAGACCGAUAGCGAACAAGUACCGUGAGGGAAAGAUGAAAAGAACUUUGGAAAGAGAGUUAAACAGUACGUGAAAUUGUUGAAAGGGAAACGC
RNAcentral lists this ribosomal RNA (427 nucleotides) under uncultured fungus. RNAcentral's name for it is "eukaryotic LSU rRNA". It matches the Rfam family "Eukaryotic large subunit ribosomal RNA", at positions 1 to 422 of the family's 3401-position model. Lineage: Eukaryota; Fungi. The record is from RNAcentral.